Molecule: ribosomal RNA, 504 nt
Filed under: uncultured bacterium
Lineage: Bacteria
Description: partial 16S ribosomal RNA
Rfam family: Bacterial small subunit ribosomal RNA
Source: RNAcentral
AUUGAACGCUGGCGGCAGGCCUAACACAUGCAAGUCGAACGGUAGCACAGAGAGCUUGCUCUCGGGUGACGAGUGGCGGACGGGUGAGUAACGUCUGGGAAACUGCCCGAUGGAGGGGGAUAACUACUGGAAACGGUAGCUAAUACCGCAUAACGUCGCAAGACCAAAGUGGGGGACCUUCGGGCCCCACACCAUCGGAUGUGCCCAGAUGGGAUUAGCGAGUAGGUGGGGUAAUGGCUCACCUAGGCGACGAUCCCUAGCUGGUCUGAGAGGAUGACCAGCCACACUGGAACUGAGACACGGUCCAGACUCCUACGGGAGGCAGCAGUGGGGAAUAUUGCACAAUGGGCGCAAGCCUGAUGCAGCCAUGCCGCGUGUAUGAAGAAGGCCUUCGGGUUGUAAAGUACUUUCAGCGGGGAGGAAGGCGGUGAAGUUAAUAGCUUCACCGAUUGACGUUACCCGCAGAAGAAGCACCGGCUAACUCCGUGCCAGCGGCCGCCGUAA